AUGACUUCUUUAUUGACUCACCAUUCAUUUGAAGAAAGGAGAGAGAUGCUAAAGAUAAGGGAGUUGAAUUUAACAGAAGUCUGGACUCUUAGUGUGUUCUUGGACGAAGCAGAGCAGUUCAGUGAACAAUAUCAGACUGUUUCCACCAAUACAAGUUGGACAUGUAAUCUACAGGGAAGAAAAAAAUUACAGAAGAACCCCAAAGAAUUUUGGAAGGAUUUUAGACGACUAAAGAAAAAGAAGCAUCUGGAAUGGUGGUCAAUUUGA
This 267-nucleotide long non-coding RNA is filed under the name Struthio camelus australis. Its description in RNAcentral is "lncRNA (ENSSCUG00000009517.1)". Lineage: Eukaryota; Metazoa; Chordata; Aves; Struthioniformes; Struthionidae. The record is from RNAcentral.